This is a long non-coding RNA of Cydia fagiglandana, 299 nucleotides long. RefSeq lists it as uncharacterized. The record is from RefSeq and is a predicted model, not a curated record. Lineage: Eukaryota; Metazoa; Arthropoda; Insecta; Lepidoptera; Tortricidae. The transcript has 2 exons.
GGUCGGGGCGGAGAGAAUCGCCCUGUGGCCUCCCAUGGUGUACGGACUCAACAGCUUGCAGGGAAAGCGAUGAGUCCUGCUUGACCGGAAGGCGCGUUACUUCGGUAUUCCGCUGGCUCAGUGACACAUCCCAAUUAUUAUGGGCCAAAAUCCGGGACGACCCAUACUACUGGUCUCUCUUCAAGGCCAGUGUUUACUUCUUAUUGGGGCUGAAGCUGUUCGGAGACCUGGCUGCCGAGUUCAGUUUAAGACGUAAAUGCGUGCCGAGACCAUAAUGUUUGGAUAAAAUAUUUUCCUUA